GAUGUCGGCUCAUCACAUCCUGGGGCUGAAGUAGGUCCCAAGGGUAUGGCUGUUCGCCAUUUAAAGUGGUACGCGAGCUGGGUUUAGAACGUCGUGAGACAGUUCGGUCCCUAUCUGCCGUGGGCGCUGGAGAACUGAGGGGGGCUGCUCCUAGUACGAGAGGACCGGAGUGGACGCAUCACUGGUGUUCGGGUUGUCAUGCCAAUGGCACUGCCCGGUAGCUAAAUGCGGAAGAGAUAAGUGCUGAAAGCAUCUAAGCACGAAACUUGCCCCGAGAUGAGUUCUCCCUGACUCCUUGAGAGUCCUGAAGGAACGUUGAAGACGACGACGUUGAUAGGCCGGGUGUGUAAGCGCAGCGAUGCGUUGAGCUAACCGGUACUAAUGAACCGUGAGGCUUAACCUUACAACGCCGAAG
This 415-nucleotide ribosomal RNA is filed under the name Escherichia coli. RNAcentral's name for it is "bacterial LSU rRNA". It matches the Rfam family "Bacterial large subunit ribosomal RNA", at positions 2528 to 2925 of the family's 2925-position model. The record is from RNAcentral. Lineage: Bacteria; Pseudomonadati; Pseudomonadota; Gammaproteobacteria; Enterobacterales; Enterobacteriaceae.